UAAAAUAAGAAUUCAGAAACUAUAAACCGGCUCUCUUCUAGCUUACGACACAAACUAUGAGUGAGAAAAGGACAAAUGAUUCGCUCUUUGCUUCAUUUUUUCCGAGGUUGUCACAACAUGAAAUGUCAUUUGGACCUAUUGGACUCAUUUUAACUCGGCCAAAUACAUAGUAACAUACAUAAGAAGAUUUUACUUAUAUUUAUCGAACUAUUUGACACGGUCGCGUCAACUGUGUUUACGAGUGUCUUGUGUUCAGAUUGUUUUAAGUGAUAAUUUAACAAUAUUUUUCCAAAUAAAUGGAAAGAAACUUUUAUUUAUAUCAAAUAAUUGAGUGUCUCGACUGUGUGACAUUAUGUCUUGUGUGGUAUGGGGCUGCAGCUCACAUUCAGGAAGAAAAGAAAAUAGCCAACAACUUCUGUCGUUUCAUCGAUAUUAAAUCCAAAAGUGUCGACUGGAUUUACAUGAAAAGUCAGUUCAAGAAGACGAGAUGAAAAAUUUAAAAGAAAAGCUGAACAAGUCCCGCCUCAAGAUCAAACGACUUAAUGAAAAAAAAAAAAAAAAAAAAAAAAACAAUGUGACAGGGUGUCACAAAGACAGUUUCUAAGCAAAUUGACACUGUUUAGAAAUUAAUAAAUUUGUAUUUAUUGUAAAUAUAAUGUACAUAAUUAA
Pectinophora gossypiella (pink bollworm) is the source of this 669-nucleotide long non-coding RNA. RefSeq lists it as uncharacterized. The record is from RefSeq and is a predicted model, not a curated record. Lineage: Eukaryota; Metazoa; Arthropoda; Insecta; Lepidoptera; Gelechiidae. The transcript is spliced from 3 exons.